UACGGGGGGAGCAAGCGUUGUUCGGAUUUACUGGGCGUAAAGGGCGCGUAGGCGGUCGCCCAAGUCAGUUGUGAAAUCUCCGGGCUUAACUCGGAAAGGUCAACUGAUACUGUGCGGCUAGAGUGCAGAAGGGGCAACUGGAAUUCUCGGUGUAGCGGUGAAAUGCGUAGAUAUCGAGAGGAACACCUGCGGCGAAGGCGGGUUGCUGGGCUGACACUGACGCUGAUGCGCGAAAGCCAGGGGAGCGAACGGG
This 253-nucleotide ribosomal RNA is filed under the name uncultured bacterium. RNAcentral's name for it is "partial 16S ribosomal RNA". It matches the Rfam family "Bacterial small subunit ribosomal RNA", at positions 524 to 776 of the family's 1533-position model. The record is from RNAcentral.